ACAUACAAUCAGCUGCAUCUUCUUGCAGAAAUCAUUAAAUCAAGGUUUUACCUUUAAACCCCUCUUUCAAUCUCUUCCAUUGACUAAUCAUGAUUCAAACACCAUUAGGACUUUGCAAAUCAACUCACCCAGUCAUACAAGAAAAACAAAGAAAUCAAAUUUUACAUGUUGUAUUGACUGAACAAGAGGAAUAAAAGUAGAUUGCAGCUGUAAAAAUUCAAACUUGAGUCUUGGUUUUGGUUGUUGAAUGUUGAGUGUUGUUGCUGACUGUUUGAAGUCGAGGGGCAGAAAACGGGCCGCGCGGUGGUGGCGGCUCCUCGCUGCUGUCGCCGGUAGUCGGAGCAAAGAAGAGUGGGAAUCGGUGGUCUCGGGGCUAGGGCUCAGACGGCGCCUCCGUUCGAAAGCCGAGCGGUGGUAGCUGGCCGGUGGUGUGUAGGUGUGCCCUAUUUUCAGUCGGAGAAAGAGAGUCGGGGAGGCGGCUAUAGUCGUCGGGGAUUGAAGAGAAAUACAAGGGAGGUGUCUAGAUCUAGUGCUCGGCGGCGGCGGCGGCUCCGUCGUCGUUUCAUCCGGAGCAAAGGAAAGGGAGGCUUUGGGGCGUGCGGCGGUGGCUGGCUUCACUAGCUGCUGCUGCUGCUGCUCGCCGGAAUCGGAGAAAAGGGAUUCGGUGUUGGGGAUUUAGGGCUGAGAAGAGAGGGAAGUCGGAGGAGAUAAGACGAGAGGCGGCGGUGGCCGGCUCUUCGCCGCUGCUACCGUCGACUGUGGAGUCGAGAGAAAUGGGGGCGAGGGAGAUGACUGACCGGCGGUUCUUCGCCGGAGGAGACAAGAGGUGAGGAGCGAGGGUGUGUUCCUGGUGACUAGUGUGUGUGAGGAGGAGAGGGACAAAAGGGGUGGGGGAGACGCAGGUGUGAGUGAGAGGGAGUGAUAAGGGGUUAGGGCUUGGACCUUUGGGUAUUUUGGGCUUUGUUUUGGGCUGCGUUUUAUUUCAAUUGGGCUGCUCAUAUUUUAUUUUGGGCUGCGAAUUUUUAAAACAAAAACAUGGGCUUCCACUUAAUUGUUAGACUUCUUAAAUUGAUUUAUUAAUUUGACUCUUUAAUUUGAGUUUAAUUAAUUAUUGUUAGAAAAAAAUUUGCAUAAUAGUAUUUUUCUUAUUAUGUGCAUAUGUUAU
Molecule: long non-coding RNA, 1165 nt
Filed under: Salvia miltiorrhiza (redroot sage)
Lineage: Eukaryota; Viridiplantae; Streptophyta; Magnoliopsida; Lamiales; Lamiaceae
Description: long non-coding RNA (SMIL_LNC005391)
Source: RNAcentral